RNAcentral lists this long non-coding RNA (1961 nucleotides) under Sus scrofa (pig). RNAcentral's name for it is "lncRNA (ENSSSCG00065049810.1)". The record is from RNAcentral. Lineage: Eukaryota; Metazoa; Chordata; Mammalia; Artiodactyla; Suidae.
CAGGAAAACUAUUUCUACCACUAGCUCAGGAAUAUUUGGCCAUUCCUUGACCCAGGGGUGGAGAUGAGCAUGGUAUUGGAACCUGUUCACUAUUUGUUCAGUCAUUAUUUCUAAAUAAUACCAAGGCUACAAAACAUUAUUGAUCCCAAAAGUAUUUAUUGAGCAGCUACAGUCUGAGGGCUGUGCAAGAUGACUAAAAAGGUUUGGUCUUUCAUUUCUAGUUGGUGCCUAUUAAAUAUAUACCAGUACCAGCUGAUUGGUUUAUUUGUCAAGGAAUAGAUUAAACCCACAUCUAGUAGUCUCCACUCACCCAUAGGCAUUACCAAAUGAAGAGUACUCUGGAGCUUCCAUUGUGGCUCAGCAGAAACAAAUCUGACUAGUAACAAUGAGGUUGUGGAUUCGAUCCCUGGCCUCAUUCAGUGGGUUAAGGAUCUGGUGUUGCCGUGGGCUGUGCUGUGUGUCACAAACGUGAAUUGGAUCUGCAUUGCUGGGGAUGUGGCAUAAGCCAGCAGCUAUAGCUCCAAUUGGACCCUUAGCCUGGGGACCUCCAUAUGCCAUGGGUGUGGCCCUAAAAACCAACAAAUAAAAUAAAAUAAAGUGUAUUCUAAAUUAUCCUUUCUCUCUUGUCACCUUAUCACUACCACUAGAGUUUAUAAGCCUGUUAUAGACUUGAAAUCACAUUACCAUAACUCCUGUUCAAUAUGAGGAUCUCAUCACAUUUUGAUACAUACCUAUCAUAUCAAAUGACAGGGGAUCAUUUCUAUCAUUUGCAUAGAUGCAAAAUCAACUGUUUGCACCAAGGUUCUGCCAUGACCAGCAUAGAAGCUCCUGGUAUCCACUGAGCAAAUGGAGGAUAUUGGCACCAGGUGCAGUGGAGAGAAGUGCCAAGAUCAUUCAGGUCCUGUGUCCUGGGAGGUGAAGGAUUGCCUGAGACAGCAGCACACUGAAGCAGAUAGCUGAUGACUAUUAAAACACACUUCUUGAUUUACAGUCACCUGUCAGGUAGGAGAAUUUAUCCCCGCUGAUCAGAGCAGAAAGUACUCUGAGUGCAGGGAGUGAGUAUACGUGUGUGCCUGGGUGUAUUUUAAGUAUCCACCUGGGAAAUCUCCAAAUCAGCAUUUAUUUCAAUAAUCUCAUACAUUCAUAUGGCACCUUUCUCCAUAAAUGCUUCCAAAGCAGUUUGUAAAUUUUAUGUAGCUGAGGAAUCAUCAUUGCUGGAAUAGAAGGAAAUAGAUACUUACCAGCUUCCUAAUGAGAACUUGGGGCUAACUGUACUUUUGUUAAGACUACAGAGAUCCAGGAAUGUGUGUGUAUUUAAAUGACAUUGUAUUUCAUUAAAUAGUAUUCACAUUUGCUCUGAAUAAUCCAGUCUACCUAGCCUUCCAGGCUCACCUCUAGAGGCAAUGCUACCAUUGAUGCUAAUUUUUGGUCCCCUGGAGCAAAGUACUAUCACCUAGCCCUGGAUUUUGCUCUUCCCUAGAUACCCAGGAGAACAGAAGUAGGUAGGAGACCUUUGUCACUCUUAGGGGUUCUACAUUAUGCAGUUCUGGCCUCUUAGGAGCUGAGCAAUAUCUGAGAGGCCAGUUAACAUCUGGGAGGAAAUUAAAGGAACUUAAAAUUCAAGGAGCUUCAGGAAUUCAUUCAGUAAAUAUUUAUUGAGCCAUUACUCUGAUCUAGAAACUCUGCUAGGAUACUAGAGAUAUCACUAAGAGUACAGAGACAGGGCCCCUGACCUGGAGCCAGCAGUCUAGUAGGGGAAGUGGCCAUUAGUGCAAUAAUCCCACAGAUCACUGUAAACUGAGAAUCAUGAUGAAUGCUCCAAAGGAUGGUUCUGAGGGCACAAGCAGGGAAGUUCACCCAGAUUGGGGAGUCAGGGAGGCUGCCUGAGACAAUAAGGCUCAAGUUUUCUGCUCUAGGAUGAAGGAAAUAAAUACUUAUCAGAUUCCUAAUGAGAACUUGGG